Molecule: ribosomal RNA, 505 nt
Filed under: uncultured bacterium
Lineage: Bacteria
Description: partial 16S ribosomal RNA
Rfam family: Bacterial small subunit ribosomal RNA
Source: RNAcentral
GACGAACGCUGGCGGCGUGCCUAAUACAUGCAAGUAGAACGCACAGUUUAUACCGUAGCUUGCUACACCAUAGACUGUGAGUUGCGAACGGGUGAGUAACGCGUAGGUAACCUGCCUGGGAGCGGGUGAUAACUAUUGGAAACGAUAGCUAAUACCGCAUAAUAUUGAUUAUUGCAUGAUAAUUGAUUGAAAGAUGCUAUUGCAUCACUACCAGAUGGACCUGCGUUGUAUUAGCUAGUAGGUGAGGUAACGGCUCACCUAGGCGACGAUACAUAGCCGACCUGAGAGGGUGGUCGGCCACACUGGGACUGAGACACGGCCCAGACUCCUACGGGAGGGAGCAGUAGGGGAACUUCGGCAAUGGAGGAAAGUCUGACCGAGCAACGCCGCGGGAGUGAAGAAGGGUUUCGGAUCGUUAAGCUCCGUUGUAAGGGAAGAAAGGGUGUGAGAGUGAAAAGUUCACACUGUGACGGUAUCUUACCAGAAAGGGACGGCUAACUACGUG